UACGUAGGGUGCGAGCGUUAAUCGGAAUUACUGGGCGUAAAGCGUGCGCAGGCGGUUUUGUAAGCCAGAUGUGAAAUCCCCGGGCUUAACCUGGGAAUGGCAUUUGGGACUGCAAGGCUGGAGUGUGGCAGAGGAGACUGGAAUUCCUGGGUGUAGCAGUGAAAUGCGUAGAUAUCAGGAGGAACACCGGUGGUGUAAACGGCUCUCUGGACCGUAACUGACGCUGAGGCACGAAAGCGUGGGUAGCAACAGG
This 253-nucleotide ribosomal RNA is filed under the name uncultured bacterium. RNAcentral's name for it is "partial 16S ribosomal RNA". It matches the Rfam family "Bacterial small subunit ribosomal RNA", at positions 524 to 775 of the family's 1533-position model. The record is from RNAcentral.